AUUAGGCACAUCAUUUUGUCCCUUAAAAUCUGUAAAGACUCAUCAUCAAAAACCUUUUAUUACUCAUUAUAGAGAUAAUCUUAAUAGUUGACAUAAACUUUCUAUGAGUGUUUGAAAUGUAUUAUUAAAUGGCCCUCACGGGCUUGCAAAAAUUGCCGUAGCGGACGGUAUUUCACGUCCUCAUGGCGGGGUAUUGGUUAAAGUUUUCAACUAGCAAUAAUCGCACCUCAGUAGAACUUCAUUGGUUACGAUAAUGCCUC
Molecule: long non-coding RNA, 260 nt
Filed under: Drosophila guanche
Lineage: Eukaryota; Metazoa; Arthropoda; Insecta; Diptera; Drosophilidae
Source: RNAcentral